This 468-nucleotide ribosomal RNA is filed under the name uncultured bacterium. RNAcentral describes it as "partial 16S ribosomal RNA". It matches the Rfam family "Bacterial small subunit ribosomal RNA", at positions 28 to 507 of the family's 1533-position model. The record is from RNAcentral.
GACGAACGCUGGCGGCGUGCUUAACACAUGCAAGUCGAACGGAAAGGCCCUGCUUGGGUGGUGUUCUCGAGGGGCAAAGGGGUGAGUAACACGUGAAUAACCUGCCCUAGACUUUGGGAUAACUUCAGGAAACUGGGGCUAAUACCGGAGAGGAUCCUCCGCUGCGUGGGGGGGUGGGGAAAGUUGCGGCGGUUGGGGAUGGACGCGCGGCUUAUCAGCUUGUUGGUGGGGUAGGGGCUUACCAAGGCUUGGACGGGUAGCCGGCUUGAGAGGGGGACCGGCCACAUUGGGACUGAGUUAGGGCCCAGAUCCCUAGGGGGGGCAGAGGGGGGGAAAAUGGAACAAUGGGCGGAAGCCGGUGCAAGCAAGGCCGGGGGCGGGAUGCGGGCUUUGGGUUGGAAAACCGCUUUCGCCUUUGACGAAGCGUGAGUGACGGUAAUGGGUAAAGAAGCACCGGCUAACUACGUG